This 226-nucleotide long non-coding RNA is filed under the name Lathyrus oleraceus (garden pea). RNAcentral describes it as "Pisum sativum (pea) long non-coding RNA (PSAT_LNC005442)". Lineage: Eukaryota; Viridiplantae; Streptophyta; Magnoliopsida; Fabales; Fabaceae. The record is from RNAcentral.
AGUGAAGUGACCGACUCACUUGUAUUAAAAUUUAUUAUUGGAUAAGUGGUCAUUGAAAAUUAUGAACUUUCACUUGAGGGGAGCAUUAUGGAUAAACUCACACUUUAGAGGAAGUGUUGAGAAUAACAAAUGUCAUUACAUGUGAAAGUUCCAUAUUUGUUAAAAAUAUGAAUACUUGAGCAUUUAUAAGUGAAAAAAAUUCACACACCUUUUAUUUUAAAAUUUU